This 468-nucleotide ribosomal RNA is filed under the name uncultured bacterium. RNAcentral's name for it is "partial 16S ribosomal RNA". It matches the Rfam family "Bacterial small subunit ribosomal RNA", at positions 28 to 507 of the family's 1533-position model. The record is from RNAcentral.
GACGAACGCUGGCGGCGUGCUUAACACAUGCAAGUCGAACGGAAAGGCCCUGCUUUUGUGGGGUGCUCGAGUUGCGAACGGGUGAGUAACACGUGAGUAACCUGCCCUUGACUGUGGGAUAACUUCAGGAAACUGGGGCUAAUACCGGAUAGGAGCUCCUGCUGCAUGGUGGGGGUUGGUAAGUUUCGGCGGUUGGGGAUGGACUCGCGGCUUAUCAGCUUGUUGGUGGGGUAGUGGCUUACCAAGGCUUUGACGGGUAGCCGGCCUGAGAGGGUGACCGGCCACAUUGGGACUGAGAUACGGCACAGACUCCUACGGGAGGGAGCAGUGGGGAAUAUUGCACAAUGGGCGGAAGCCUGAUGCAGCAACGCCGCGUGCGGGAUGACGGCCUUCGGGUUGUAAACCGCUUUCGCCUGUGACGAAGCGUGAGUGACGGUAAUGGGUAAAGAAGCACCGGCUAACUACGUG